GCUUGCUUUUGAUGGGCGUCGACCGGCGCACGGGUGAGUAACGCGUAUCCAACCUGCCCAUCACUUGGGGAUAACCUUGCGAAAGUAAGACUAAUACCCAAUGACGUCUCUAGAAGACAUCUGAAAGAGAUUAAAGAUUUAUCGGUGAUGGAUGGGGAUGCGUCUGAUUAGCUUGUUGGCGGGGUAACGGCCCACCAAGGCAACGAUCAGUAGGGGUUCUGAGAGGAAGGUCCCCCACAUUGGAACAGAGACACGGUCCAAACUCCUACGGGAGGCAGCAGUGAGGAAUAUUGGUCAAUGGGCGAGAGCCUGAACCAGCCAAGUAGCGCGCAGGAUGACGGCCCUAUGGGUUGUAAACUGCUUUUAUAAGGGAAUAAAGUGAGUCUCGUGAGACUUUUUGCAUGUACCUUAUGAAUAAGGACCGGCUAAUUCCGUGCCAGCAGCCGCGGUAAUACGGAAGGUCCGGGCGUUAUCCGGAUUUAUUGGGUUUAAAGGGAGCGUAGGCCGGAGAUUAAGCGUGUUGUGAAAUGUAGACGCUCAACGUCUGCACUGCAGCGCGAACUGGUUUCCUUGAGUACGCACAAAGUGGGCGGAAUUAGUGGUGUAGCGGUGAAAUGCUUAGAUAUCACGAAGAACUCCGAUUGCGAAGGCAGCUCACUGGAGCGCAACUGACGCUGAA
This 679-nucleotide ribosomal RNA is filed under the name uncultured Bacteroidota bacterium. RNAcentral's name for it is "bacterial SSU rRNA". It matches the Rfam family "Bacterial small subunit ribosomal RNA", at positions 72 to 750 of the family's 1533-position model. The record is from RNAcentral. Lineage: Bacteria; Pseudomonadati; Bacteroidota.